This 256-nucleotide long non-coding RNA is filed under the name Capsella rubella. RNAcentral describes it as "long non-coding RNA (CRUB_LNC004683)". Lineage: Eukaryota; Viridiplantae; Streptophyta; Magnoliopsida; Brassicales; Brassicaceae. The record is from RNAcentral.
CGAGCUUUGAAAUUAACAACUUACAAGGGCCAUAUGUUACUAUUGCGAUUUUUGUUGUUUGUAUGUUGUCAAUAUUUUUUUUUUUUAUAUAAAGAAACUUAAUUAACGACACUUUUAUCAUAUGUAUAAACGUAAAUAAUUGCCAAAGAUGUUAAUUUGCUGAUAAGUAAUACAAAGAGAAGACAUUGGUAUUGAUACGCGUCAUGAAAUAAUUGCUUCUCCGAUCCCCGCUUAUAAUGUAAAUGUAUAUGCUCUC